Pipra filicauda (Wire-tailed manakin) is the source of this 2779-nucleotide long non-coding RNA. RefSeq lists it as uncharacterized. The transcript has 2 exons. The record is from RefSeq and is a predicted model, not a curated record. Lineage: Eukaryota; Metazoa; Chordata; Aves; Passeriformes; Pipridae.
CAGAAAGAGGCACUUUCCCAGCACCCCUGAUAUGCUGCCCAGGUAGUGCUCUCUGGCCUUGCUGGCAGAGAGGUGUUUCCUCCCUCGCAGGACCAGAUGUGUCUGUUGGAACUCUGUAAACCUCCCUCAUCACGGGGAAGUUAUUUCUCCCUUCAUUAGGGUUUAUCUGCUGUGAAAACCUGCUCCCCCUCCCGGACUCCCCCAGAGUCCUGAUGCCAUCAGUCAUGACAAUGGCUCAUCCCAGCCGUGCUCAUCGCAGCGAGAGGCUCAUUGUCCCCGUGCUGGGCCAUAUGGCCUCCUGCCUUAAUGCUGCCCCACACACAGGCUUCUGCUCGAGGAGCAGCUGUGGAAAGGCUUAGUGGAUCUCCCCAGGGUCAGCCAAGUGUAACAUCCAUGAGGAAAAGCACUAGACCACUGUGUGGCAAGAGGAGGCAGCAGGAGUGCGGGGCUGGCUCUCUGGAGCAUCCUCCGGCGCUGUCACCGUCCUCCUCCUCACCCAGGAGCAACAGUGCAGAAAUGCAGCUGCCCCCGGGGUGGAGGGCAGCAGCAGGACAGCAUCACAGGGCUCAGGGAGAGCUUAGGGAGGUCUUGGCUCCUGCUGGGCUCAGCUGUGUGUCUGGGACAAAAUUAACGUGCUGUGAUCUUUUCAUCCUCGGCAGAACUCUGCUCCUGCAUCCACCCGAGUGACCUCGGGCUGUGGGGAUUGGCUCCCUGGGAGCUGAAGGCAGCUGUCAGGUGGAAGAUUUCUUGGGCUUGUUGCACUGACCACAGGGCUGGGACCUUCACCUGCGAGGGUUCUUAGCUCCUGUAUCGGCAUGAGGAUGAGUGUGAGUGCUGUGGAUGGAGGAAGGAGCAGACUCUGCUCCCUGGGGUGUGUGACUUUGGAGAGGAAGGAAGGCAAAUGUGUGCCCCUGGUUGGUUUAUUCCGACUUCCUCAGCUGGGAAUUGGGCUGCUGGUGCAAUGUGCACACUGGUGUCUCCCCAGGCACCCCUUUGGCAUCCUGUUGGGCCCCCCUUGGCUUGGUGGUGCUGCAGGAGGCUGCCCUGGUCUCUCUGAGAGUCAUCCUGCCACCUCCCUGGGAAAGAGGCAGGAAAAUAGGGUGAGGUUAACCUUUAUUACAAGGCAGAGCUCAGCAGGAACAAACAGUGCAGCUUUUGGGCAAAUAGGUUGCACAGGACUGUCUGUCAUCACUUUCUUGUUCUGCUCUCUCCCUCCUCAAUUGAACUUUGUCUGCUUGUAGCAAGGAGCUUGUCUCUAGGGCUUUUCAGGUGGUGAAGUUGCUGGGUCAGGGGUGGUUGUAGCUCUUGCAUCAGCCUGUGUUGUGGAAGUGAGCAGCCCCUGAGUGCUGUGGGUGCUGGGGGGCAUGUGGGAGGAGGAAAGGGCUACCAGAGGGUGCAGAGACUAGAGAUUAGAGGUGUGCUGUGGGUAAAGACAGCUCUUUACUUGGGAUGGGGGCCCUCCAUACCUUUGCACUCCUCUUCCCCUGGUAUCUGUUUUCUCCUCAGCGACCUUAUGGGGAGACCCAGGAUUGUUGCUUUCCCAGUGCAAACAGAGGCCUGGCUGGGUAAGUACAAAAUCGUCCUGUAGGAAGGAGGAUGGUGUGCUCGUGGUCCAUCAGUUGAUGCUGUCUCUGUCACAAGGCAGGAUGGAGAUGUGCUUGUGGCUGCCCAUGAGCCCUGGACACUCCCAGCUCCAUCCCCAGAGCCCCUCCCGGGGGGAAUGUCUGACAGGUAAGAGCAGAGCCCAGCCCUGGCAGGAUGGACCUGCCCAAAUCACUGCCUGGAAGGUUUGGCAGUGUCCAUAGGGUGUGUCUGGAUGCUGCUGGAGAUCGGGAAUGCUGUAGAAUGAACCGUCCUUGGUUUGCUGUGAUAAUGGCUGCAGGACUGUGGUAUGUUGGAUGCACUCCUUGAGUUAACUGAACUUUGGGCCAAGCAGGUGCUCAGCAACUCACCCUGAUCAACAUUAAUCCUGCUGUGCGUGGCUACCAGUGAGAACUGAGCACCAACCCCAGAAAAGCACAGUUUGGCUGGAGUCUGGGCUGACAAGAGGCUGAGAGAUCCCUUACCUGGCACCAGACAUCCAUGGGCACUGAGCUGGGAUCGAAUCACCGUGGAACUGUACUCCAUCCUUUAGAACACCGAGUAUGGGCCCAGCAAAAUGGGAACAAAUGGCAAACUGUCACUGCUGACACAUGUGCUGCGUGGAAACAACAAGGAUUUAUUUGUGAAUGUAAUACUGUUGAGACCCAAGACAUUUGUCUUGACACCGAACAAAAUGUUUGUCAUUUUGAAAUACAUCCCAGUGAGACCUCUGAGACUGUACUUGUGUGUGUUGGGACUGGAUGUGUUUGCAUGAGAGUCCUUUGUGAUUCUCUAUUUAUAGACAUCACCACUGUAUAUAUACACAACCCCUCAAACAUAAGUAUUUGUUAUUUCACUAAAAUUAUGAGAUGCAACUUUAACUACUGAGCUCCUUUCAUAACCCACUGUGUCCCAGACAGAGUGAAAAAAGAUGAAAAAUAUCACUGUGAGAAAAUCUGCUUGGAUAGUCACCAACAGCAUCUGGAGCUUUGAAUUUGAUGUUACACCUAAUUGUAGCCUUGUUAAUCAUUGUAGUUUUGUGUUCAUUGUUCUACCUUUGUUUAUAUGUCACAUUACAGUGCUUAUAUCAGUGUAUAAUAGCUAUGAGUGAACAUGUGGGUACUAAAGGAUCAGCAGAUCUGACAUUAUCUUAUUUACCAGCCUAUUACCUACUCAAUAAAUUAACUUCUAGCUCAGA